RNAcentral lists this ribosomal RNA (167 nucleotides) under uncultured bacterium. RNAcentral's name for it is "partial 16S ribosomal RNA". It matches the Rfam family "Bacterial small subunit ribosomal RNA", at positions 1335 to 1500 of the family's 1533-position model. The record is from RNAcentral.
CUAGUAAUCGUAGGUCAGCAUACUACGGUGAAUACGUUCCCGGGGCCUUGUACACACCGCCCGUCAAACCAUGAGAGUUGGCAACACCCGAAGUCGGUAGUCUAACCGCAAGGAGGACGCCGCCGAAGGUGGGGUUGAUGAUUAGGGUUAAGUCGUAACAAGGUAGC